AAUAGAUGACGUCGUUGAUUUUUUCUCACAUGUUUGACUAUUCAUCUUAUUUAAAAAAUUGACGUAAUUAUAAUUUAUUUUGUUAUGAGUUGUUUUAUCACUCAUAUUACUUUAAGUGUGAUUUAUAUCUUAUACAUCUAUAUAAAAUCUUUGAAUAAAAUGAAUGGUCAAACAUGUGAUAAAAAGUCAACGGCGUCAUCUAUU
Molecule: microRNA precursor, 204 nt
Organism: Oryza sativa Japonica Group (Japanese rice)
Lineage: Eukaryota; Viridiplantae; Streptophyta; Magnoliopsida; Poales; Poaceae
Rfam family: MIR812 microRNA precursor family
Source: Rfam